CCUACGGGAGGCAGCAGUGAGGAAUAUUGGUCAAUGGACGAGAGUCUGAACCAGCCAAGUAGCGUGAAGGAUGACUGCCCUAUGGGUUGUAAACUUCUUUUAUAAAGGAAUAAAACGAGGCACGUGUGCCUUUUUGCAUGUACUUUAUGAAUAAGGAUCGGCUAACUCCGUGCCAGCAGCCGCGGUAAUACGGAGGAUCCGAGCGUUAUCCGGAUUUAUUGGGUUUAAAGGGAGCGUAGAGGGGUUGUUAAGUCAGUUGUGAAAGUUUGCGGCUCAACCCGAAAAUUGCAAUUGAUACUGGCGGUCUUGAGUGAAGUUGAGGUAGGCGGAAUUCGUGGUGUAGCGGUGAAAUGCUUAGAUAUCACGAAGAACCCCGAUUGCGAAGGCAGCUUACUAAACUGUAACUGACAUUGAUGCUCGAAGGUGUGGGUAGCAAACAGGAUUAGAUACCCCAGUAGUC
Molecule: ribosomal RNA, 460 nt
Filed under: uncultured bacterium
Lineage: Bacteria
Description: partial 16S ribosomal RNA
Rfam family: Bacterial small subunit ribosomal RNA
Source: RNAcentral